This 468-nucleotide ribosomal RNA is filed under the name uncultured bacterium. Its description in RNAcentral is "partial 16S ribosomal RNA". It matches the Rfam family "Bacterial small subunit ribosomal RNA", at positions 28 to 507 of the family's 1533-position model. The record is from RNAcentral.
GACGAACGCUGGCGGCGUGCUUAACACAUGCAAGUCGAACGGAAAGGCCCUGCUUUUGUGGGGUGCUCGAGUGGCGAACGGGUGAGUAACACGUGAGUAACCUGCCCUUGACUUUGGGAUAACUUCAGGAAACUGGGGCUAAUACCGGAUAGGAGCUCCUGCUGCAUGGUGGGGGUUGGAAAGUUUCGGCGGUUGGGGAUGGACUCGCGGCUUAUCAGCUUGUUGGUGGGGUAGUGGCGUACCAAGGCUUUGACGGGUAGCCGGCAUGAGAGGGUGACCGGCCACAUUGGGACUGCGAGAGGGACCAGACUCCAACGGGAGGCAGCAGAGGGGAGUAUUGCAGAAUAGGCGGAAGCCAGAUGCAGCAACGCCGCGUGCGGGAUGACGGCCUUCGGGUUGUAAACCGCUGUCGCCUGUGACGAAGCGUGAGUGACGGUAAUGGGUAAAGAAGCACCGGCUAACUACGUG